GAGCUGGGAAGCCGCCCCGCCCCCUUGGGGGCGUGGCGGAAGAGGCUGCAGGCUGGCGGCCCGGCUCUGCCCGCGCUGCUUUGCCUGUCUGCUGUUAGCAGGCAAGCGGCUUCGUGGAUCCGGUGGUUACUGGAGGAGCUGGUGGUAAAUUAGAGAGGAGGAAGACGCUCAGUGUUGACUGCGGCGAGCACACUGACACUUCUUGAAAUCUUCUCAAAAUUGACAAUUUUCGUAGUUGUAAAGAUAGGUGAUAUUACAGGGUUCACUUUGCCUUGGGAACUUCUCAGCGCGAAGCUUUCCUUUUAAAAACCGUUCUCCUCAGGCAACGCUGUAUUUACUGGUUUAUUAGAAGGCCCCGCCAUGACUCCAGGGCUAGGAAAGUGGUGGGGAAGAAAGCAGGAUGACCACAAAUGGGGCACUGAGGAGGAUUCCUGCCUCCAAACAGGAAUACUAAACUCACAUCCUGCGGCUUAAUUCGUCUCAGGCCCAUUCCAUGUGACACUUGUCGGGUACCUUGUUAAAUCCAACAAAAUAAAGAUGGUCUUGGGAGGACUUUCCCUGCGCUGUAGCUCUGUGUGGCUAAAGAUUGGGUGUUACUGCUACAGUCUGCAGCUGUUGACCUAGAAAAGGCAAGAAAGGGAACAUAACUGCCCAGAGUUGCGGCCCAGCUUUGCAGUUCUCAGAAGGCUUGUGUGUCAAGCAAGUUUCCUAACAGCUACAUAAGGAGUGAGGUGUCCUACAUUGGAGGACCUGGGUAUAAGUCCUGGACUCUAUUCUAUGUUCCAGUUUCUUGCUGAUGUGCACUCUGAGAGGCAGCAGGUAGGUGAUGGUUCAAAUUCCUAUCACCCUUGUGGGAGGCCUGGAUUGGAUUCAAGUCUCCUGGUUUCUGCGUGGCCCGGCACUGGCACUGGCCACUGUGGGCAUUUGAGGAGUGAACCAACAGAUGACAGCUCUCUGUAUGUCUCUCCAUUCCUGUCUCACUGUCUCUCUCAGCUUAUCAAAAAAAAAAAUAAGUACAGCUUAAUAAUAUUAGCAGAAACAGAUUAGCGUUUUAUGGAAACAGCAUAUGACAGAGUUGGUGUUACCAAUUAGUAAAGAAGGAUGAAUUACUCACAAAAUGCUGUCAAAGCUGUGGGCUAUCCAUAUGGAAAUAAAAUUGCAUCUCUGAUUCUCGUCAUAUAAAUUCCAGAUGGAUUGAAGACAUACAUGUUAAAUAUUUGUAAUAUGUUUAGAAGAAAACAAAAAAUCUUUAACCUCAGUAUAGGGGAGGAUUUUUUUUUUCUUUUUUAAGAUUUAUUUAUUUCUUUGAAAGUCAGAAGUCAGAGUUACACAGAGAGAGGAGAGGCAGAGAGGUUUUUCCAUCUGCUGGUUCACUCCCCAGUUGGCGCCAACUGCCGAAGCUGCGAUCUGAAGCCAGGAGCCAGGAGCUUCUUCCAGGUCUCCCAUGCAGGUGCAGGGGCCCAAGGUCUUGGGCCAUCUUCCACUGCCUUCCCAGGCCAUAGCAGAGAGCUGGAUUGGAAGUGGAGUGGCCAGGACUUGAAGCGGCACCCAUAUAUGAUGCCAGCACUGCAGGCAACGGCUUUUACACACUACACCACAGUGCCAGCCCAGGGAAGGAUACCUUAAAGAAAGAAAAUGCAAAUAUUAGAAGAGAAGCUCAUCAAAAUAUGAGAAAGCAGGUACAAAAUAAUGAAGAAGGAAUAUAUUUGUGACCCAUAUAAUGUCAAUGGAUUCAUCCUCGUGGUAAAAAAAUAGAUCAUGGAAAGCCUCUGUGCCAGCCCAGGAGAUUUUAGGAAAGUUCUCUUAGGUCAGGGUUUCUCUGCUUGGACAUUAUUGACAUUUUAGAGACUUUUUUGUUGAGGGUGAGCUUUCUGCACACUGUAGACCAUUUAACUACAUUUCUCCUCAACCCACAAGAUGCCAGUAGCCCCCACCUUGAUUAUGAGAAUUAAAAUGUUUCCAGACAUUGCUAAGUAGUUCCUUGUGGGGGGCACAAAAUCACCCCUGGUUAAGACUCACUACUAAAAAUGUAUGGAUUUGUAGUUGUUAAACCAUUUAUAAGCACGAGAUGUGUAAAGUAAAUGGGUGAUAUGUAUAUUGGGGAACAUAGGGAAUUAGAAAACUCAUGUACCUUCCAAGGGAGGGAAAUUUUUUCAUGCAAGAUUGUAGAAAAAUUUUUCCAUGUCUUCUGAUCUUGUGCGGGUCUGGACCUUGAUUGUGAGCCUCCUGAAGGUGAUCUUUCUGCACAGAGGACAUUUCAGAGGACAGAGGACAUUUGAACUGUAACACAUUGAAUGUGUUACAGUUCAAAAUUGAGAAGCCAUGUUCCUAAAUUUUUAGUUUUGUAUUCAAACCUUAUUUAUAUAAAUGCAAAAACUUUGUUACAGUCAAGCUUAAGGAGGAUUUUAUAAGUUAAAUUCCUAAAGGGUCAUAAAAUCACUAUACUUAUCUUAAUACUGUUGGGCACAUACUGGAUACAUCUAAAUCUAAAGUUAACAAUUGAUCAUAAUAUAGGACUAAGAACCAAAGGGAUCACAUAAACAAGAAUAGUGUCUGCAAAUACUAGCUGAUAGAAUAAAAAAGGGAGAGAACGAUCCAACAUGGGAAGUGAGAUACACAGCAGACCCAUAGAAUGGCAGAUGUCCUAAACAGCACUCUGGCCUCAGAAUCAGCCCUUAAGGCAUGCGGAUCCAGCUGAAAAGCCCAUGAGAGUAUUUCAGGCAUGGAAAGCCAAGACACUCUGGGGAAAAAAAAAAAAAAAAAACACCUAAAUGAAAGAUCUCUGUGAGUGAGAUCCCAGUGGAAAAAAUGGGUCAUCAAAGAAGGAGGUACCUUUCUCUGAAGGGAGGAGAGAACUUCCACUUUGCCCAUGGCCUUGUCUAAAUAGGAUCAGAGUCGGUGAACUCAGGGGGCUUCCAUAGCCUUGGCAGCUCAUGACAAGAGCCUAGGGUGAUUACUGAGGCCAUAAACAAGAGUGUCAAUUUGUUAAGUCAACAACAGGAGUCACUGUGCACUUACUCCUCAUGUAGGAUCUUUGUCCUUAGUGUGCUCUACAUUGAGAUUUAAUGCUAUAACUAGUACUCAAACAGUUUUUCACUUUAUGUUUCUGUGUGGGAGCAAACUGUUGAAAUCUUUACUCAAUGUAUUCUAAACUGAUCUUCUGUAUGUAACGAGAAUUGAAAAUGAAUCUUGAUGUGAAUGGAAGGGGAGAGGGAGUGGGAAAGGGGAGGGUUGCGGGUGGGAGGGACGUUAUGGGGGGGAAGCCAUUGUAAUCCAUAAGCUGUACUUUGGAAAUUUAUAUUCAUUAAAUAAAAGUUUAAAAAAAUGAAAAAUAAAUCUAAAGUUAAAAAGAAGAGGAGGGGAAUAAGUUCUAUAAAGUAUUCUAAAAACUGUUUGUAAACAAAGAUUUCAAUGUAAAGCCAAAGGAGUAAACUGUGCAUUGUAAACUGUCACAAGUCAGCCUGUUUCUCUAAUAGGCCCAAAUUCCAGCCAUUAGCACUUAAAUAUCAACUAUAUACACAUUCUUCUUCUUCUUUUUAAAUAUUAUUACCUCAGCUCUUUUUCUCACAUGGAAGAAGAAUUUCCAAGUGGACAAGCAGUGAUUUUUUUUUAAGAUUUUAUUUAUUUAUUUUUGAAAGGCAGAGUUACAGAGAAGCUGAGGCAGAGAGAGAUAGAGAGAGAGAGGUAGAGAGAGAGGUCUUUCAUCCACUGGUUCACUCUCCAGAUGGCCACUAUGGCCAGAGCAGGGCUGAUCUGAAGCCAGGAGCUUCUUCUGGGUCUCCCAUGCACGUACAGGGGCCCAAGGACUUGGGCCAUCUUCUACUGCUUUCCCAGGCCAUAACAGAGAGCUGGAUCAGAAAUGGAGCAGCCAGGACUUGAACUGGCACCUAUAUGUACACAUUGUUCUUUACCAUAUAUAUACUACUUCAGGUUUCACGUUUAUCAUUACUGUACUUAGUAUCCCAGCUUUCAAAGAUUAAAAUAUAUUCAACCUGGGAAAUAAUUAUGAUCGAAACCUGAGACUAAAUUUUCCUGUACAACAUACCAAGAUAUUUCUGGGUCAGAUGUAGAAGAAAUUCUUGGUUAAAACACAAAUGGGACACACCAAAUCCUAACCUGCCAUAACUAACUCUCUUACUUAGUAAUGGAAGCAUUUCCCUGGUUUCAUUUUGUUCUCUAGUCAUUCCCCACUAAUAAACAUCUUCUGACCCUACUAAGAUUAUAGUCAGCACAUCAGCCAGUUUUGGCCCUGAAGGUAGAUGAAUGCCAUCCAAUUACACUGUAUGUAGUUCAAGGAUUUGCUUGGCUCCUUCAUCAUAUAUUCUUGGGUGAGAAGCAAAAGCAUGUGUGUGAACUGACUUGAGUUUACUGCCCCUGUGGUCAUGAUGUGAAUGAUAAGGUUUCAAGCAGGUGUUUGUAUUGGGAGGAGUGGGGUGGGGAGGUAAUGGUCAAAUUUGUGAGUGUUCUUGGCAGUAACAUAGAGAAGGGGCAAAAUGAAUGUGAAAAAUUGAUUCAGAAUUCAAUUUGAUUAGUUGGGUGAAACAUGGUCCUAAAUGGGAUGGGUAACAGAAUGGUUAAAAAAGAACAUGAUUGUAGGAAGUGGAUUCAAUGGAACUUAAUUAUUAGCACCAUAAGAUGUUCUCCCAUGGAUGAAUGGCAUCACAAAGUUGCCCUAUUUUGGUACAAUAAAGCUAGCCUUAAAUACCCUUGUUUCAAUUAAAGCUGUGAGCUGCCCUAGAAAUUUAUGGAUGAGGUGAAGCCUAUUCUGGGCUGUGAACACUGAGAAGCUGAUAGCACAGCAUCUGGGAAUGUAUUCAAUGAAGCUGGAUAAAGGGACCUGCAGGGUCAGAGUUGUGGGACAGCAGGUUACGCUGCCUUCAGAGUGCUGGUUGAGUCCUGGCUGCUCUGCUUUUAAUCCAGAUCCCUGCUAAUGUGCCUGAGAAAGCGGAGGAAGAUGGCCCGAGUUCUUGGGGCCCUACCAUCCAUGUGGGAGACACAGAUUGAGUUUCAGGCACCUAGCUUUGGCCUAGACUGGCCCCAGCCAUUGCAGCCAUUCAGGGAGUAAACCCACGGUUGAAACACUCUCUCUGUGUCUCCCUCUGCCUCUACCACUGUGCCUUUCAGACAGAUAGAUAGACCUUAAAAAAGGAACUGCAGCCUUCACUAUACUUAUUGACAUUAAAAUGCAACUCUUCUGAAAUUAUUUGUUUGGAACAUGUACUGCAGCAGAGAAGCUCAGAUUAAAAAAAGAAGUAAGGCUGCUAAGUAAGGUAUACAUGUUUAGCUGUCAGAUGGGAGAAAUAGCAUAUAAGUAACUGCAGAUUUUGAAAAUGUUCAGCCUAGUUUCCUGACAAGAGUUCUAUUUCACCAUAUGUGUUAUAAUACUUAAGGUUGAUACAUAUUGGGUUCUAACAAGAAGGAUUGAUCUGACCUGUCAGAAUUUUGAAGGUUAAAUAAAAAUUGGUUUAUUUUUCAAAGGGUAGAUUAAAAAGAUUCAAUUUACUUUACAGUUGAGUCAAGCAUUUUUCCCCUAAGGAAAUAUUACAUUGAAGUUGGAGAGCAGAGUUAACAAUAAAAGUCACAGGAGAAAGCUCUCUUAAUGGGGUUCCCUAGAGCUUAAUAAAAGCCAAAUUUGCUAGAUGCCACCUCCUGUGGAAUUAUCACAACUUCCCAGUGCUAUUCUGCUUUUCAAUGCACAGUUUGCCAGACACUCUGACAGCCUGUUUCAUCAGUGGUUAUUGGCUUGUUGUCUUAAGGUUUUUGAACUUAUUGCCCAAACUAUUUCGUGGUAAUAAAAUAUUAAAUCCAAAUGCCUUAUUUUUUUAUGCCUGGUAUGGAGAUGAAUUACUACUCCAUACUUCUGCAUCUUACUUCAUGAACAGAAAAAGGAAUUUAUUCUGCCUUUACCUGUAGUUAAAUUUUGACAGUUUUUUUCCUCUAAAGGUGUGAAUAUGAAAGUCCGAAUGAAUAGAUCCAUAGAUUGGUGUUUUGCUUUUGGAUAGGAAUAGGGUAUUUUUUAAAUUUUUUUGCACAACAAACAUUUGAGUACAUAUUAUAUUUAGGUAUUAAGCCUGGACAUGGUGGCAAAAAGAUCCAAGACCCUGGUGUCUGUGCACAAGUAUCUUAUGCUGUAAUAUGAUGACAAGUAUAUCUGUCAAUUACAACAUAGUAUGAUAGAGAAGUAGAAUGAAUCUUGAAAUAAGGCCGGUGCAAAACUGUUUGUUGUUCUUCCU
Molecule: non-coding RNA, 6233 nt
Organism: Oryctolagus cuniculus (rabbit)
Lineage: Eukaryota; Metazoa; Chordata; Mammalia; Lagomorpha; Leporidae
Source: RefSeq, a predicted model, not a curated record